UACGUAGGGUGCGAGCGUUAAUCGGAAUUACUGGGCGUAAAGCGUGCGCAGGCGGUUUUGUAAGCCAGAUGUGAAAUCCCCGGGCUUAACCUGGGAAUGGCAUUUGGGACUGCAAGGCUGGAGUGUGGCAGAGGAGACUGGAAUUCCUGGUGUAGCAGUGAAAUGCGUAGAGAUGUGGAGGAACACCGAUGGCGAAGGCAGCCCCCUGGGCCGACACUGACGCUCAGGCACGAAAGCGUGGGGAGCAAACAGG
This 253-nucleotide ribosomal RNA is filed under the name uncultured bacterium. Its description in RNAcentral is "partial 16S ribosomal RNA". It matches the Rfam family "Bacterial small subunit ribosomal RNA", at positions 524 to 776 of the family's 1533-position model. The record is from RNAcentral.